UGGUUCCUCCUCUCCUCUUUUCCAACCCGUAAACAAAAACUAUAAGAAUUGUGAGUUAGUUAACGCAACUAGGGGUACUGUUGGUCGUGUAACAUUUAAAUAACCGAUCGCUACAGCCUUGAAGGGUGAUUACAACAAGCCGUGUUUUGAAAGUAGGUGUGGAUAUUCUUUCCAGACAUACAAGCUGCUUUACGCUCUAUUUUGGACUCUACGAUGUCUUCUAGCGAAAUUUGGCAGCAUUUCGAAAG
Anopheles merus is the source of this 248-nucleotide long non-coding RNA. RefSeq lists it as uncharacterized. The transcript has 3 exons. The record is from RefSeq and is a predicted model, not a curated record. Lineage: Eukaryota; Metazoa; Arthropoda; Insecta; Diptera; Culicidae.